RNAcentral lists this long non-coding RNA (341 nucleotides) under Callithrix jacchus (white-tufted-ear marmoset). Its description in RNAcentral is "lncRNA (ENSCJAG00000069066.2)". The record is from RNAcentral. Lineage: Eukaryota; Metazoa; Chordata; Mammalia; Primates; Cebidae.
AGCUGAGUAUGAGAAUGUUGGUAACAGAGGAGAAGUUAUACUAGGGAAAAUAUUAAAUCAUGAUGUUCACCAGAGUGAUUAUAAUCAGGAAGCUUCCAGAAACUACAGGUGAAUGAAUCUGCCCAUCAGAGAACCUAGGCCAGAAAAGAUGUCAUUUUCUCCGAAAUGUAAAUGGAAAUGAUAACACAAGGAAGUCAGCAUCGUGCUCCAGUCUUCUGGAGGACACUUACAGGAUGCAGCAAGAAGGUUCUCAUCAGACACCAGAUGUCAGUGACUUAAUCUUGGACUUCCAAGUCUUCAAAACGACUGUCUGGUAUUCAGCGGGGGCUCAGUCAAUGUGA